RNAcentral lists this long non-coding RNA (875 nucleotides) under Nicotiana benthamiana. Its description in RNAcentral is "long non-coding RNA (NBEN_LNC022084)". Lineage: Eukaryota; Viridiplantae; Streptophyta; Magnoliopsida; Solanales; Solanaceae. The record is from RNAcentral.
UUAAUAAAGACUCUCUGGCUUCCAGAGUCUUCUCAGACGCUCCUCCUUCUCUCUAGUUUCUCUCUCUAUUUUUUUCAUAAUUUUUCGGUUUAAUCUCAAUGUUUACAUGGUAUCAGAGCCAGACCCAUCCCAAUUAUUGUUACCGAUGUUGGGCCCCCAUAUAUGUUGUCCCACAUCGGAGGGAUUUGAGGUCCUUGGACUCCUUAUAUGGCUUGGAAAAUCCUCACCUCAUAAGCUAGCUUUUGGGGUUGAGUUAGGCCCAAGGUAGGAAAGUCUGAGACAGUAAAAUCAUCAGCAGGAGGAAUAGAAGGAACAGAUGAAGAAGAAGGAUGAACAGAAGUAGGAUUAUUCUUAAAAAGAAAAUAGGUUUCAUGAAAGACAACAUCCCUUGAAACAAAACACUUCUUGGUAACCAAGUCAUACAGUUUAUAACCCUUUUUAGCAAAGGGGUAACCCAGAAACACACUUCUUAAAAGGAAGGGAAGAACCUGGACGACGAUCCGACUAUGUUUAUCUGUACCUCGUUGUCUUAGAUGAAGUCUGUUUCGAGAUUUUUGGGGGUGUUUCUGAGACCUUAUGGUCGAUGAUGAUUCCGAUCUAAAUCGGACACCUACCUUUCUGAGUUUUUCAUCGUGAUAUCUGAGAGUAUUUUCUGCACUCGAACGUUCUGGGAGAUUUUCUGAUGAUUUUUGGGUGAUUUUUGGGUGACCUAUCAGCUUCUAAGGUUUCUGGUGGUUUAACCUAGAGAUUUACUUCUAUGGCGGUGGCUCGAUUCUCACUCACUGGAUGUUUUGGGAGACUUUCCGACAUUCCUGACCAUACUUACAGUAAGGCUUUCGACGGUUGCACCUAGGGUUUUCUCUUUUUGUUUGAAG